RNAcentral lists this unclassified non-coding RNA (140 nucleotides) under Oryza sativa (Asian cultivated rice). Its description in RNAcentral is "partial microRNA MIR455b-49-as precursor". Lineage: Eukaryota; Viridiplantae; Streptophyta; Magnoliopsida; Poales; Poaceae. The record is from RNAcentral.
AUCCUAGCAUUUCCCACAUUCAUAUUGAUGUUAAUGAAUCUAUCUAGGAAAUGCUAGGAUGAUUUACAUUGUGAAAGUCUAGAUUCAUUAACAUCAAUAUGAAUGUGGGAAAUGCUAGGAUGAUUUACAUUGUGAAACGG